This 847-nucleotide ribosomal RNA is filed under the name uncultured Staphylococcus sp. Its description in RNAcentral is "bacterial SSU rRNA". It matches the Rfam family "Bacterial small subunit ribosomal RNA", at positions 63 to 893 of the family's 1533-position model. Lineage: Bacteria; Bacillati; Bacillota; Bacilli; Caryophanales; Staphylococcaceae. The record is from RNAcentral.
CGAGCGAACAGAUAAGGAGCUUGCUCCUUUGACGUUAGCGGCGGACGGGUGAGUAACACGUGGGUAACCUACCUAUAAGACUGGGACAACUUCGGGAAACCGGAGCUAAUACCGGAUAAUAUGUUGAACCGCAUGGUUCAAUAGUGAAAGAUGGUUUUGCUAUCACUUAUAGAUGGACCCGCGCCGUAUUAGCUAGUUGGUGAGGUAACGGCUCACCAAGGCAACGAUACGUAGCCGACCUGAGAGGGUGAUCGGCCACACUGGAACUGAGACACGGUCCAGACUCCUACGGGAGGCAGCAGUAGGGAAUCUUCCGCAAUGGGCGAAAGCCUGACGGAGCAACGCCGCGUGAGUGAUGAAGGUCUUAGGAUCGUAAAACUCUGGUAUUAGGGAAGAACAAACGUGUAAGUAACUGUGCACGUCUUGACGGUACCUAAUCAGAAAGCCACGGCUAACUACGUGCCAGCAGCCGCGGUAAUACGUAGGUGGCAAGCGUUAUCCGGAAUUAUUGGGCGUAAAGCGCGCGUAGGCGGUUUUUUAAGUCUGAUGUGAAAGCCCACGGCUCAACCGUGGAGGGUCAUUGGAAACUGGAAAACUUGAGUGCAGAAGAGGAAAGUGGAAUUCCAUGUGUACGGUGAAAUGCGCAGAGAUAUGGAGGAACACCAGUGGCGAAGGCGACUUUCUGGUCUGUAACUGACGCUGAUGUGCGAAAGCGUGGGGAUCAAACAGGAUUAGAUACCCUGGUAGUCCACGCCGUAAACGAUGAGUGCUAAGUGUUAGGGGGUUUCCGCCCCUUAGUGCUGCAGCUAACGCAUUAAGCACUCCGCCUGGGGAGUACGACCCAAGG